Molecule: ribosomal RNA, 513 nt
Filed under: uncultured bacterium
Lineage: Bacteria
Description: partial 16S ribosomal RNA
Rfam family: Bacterial small subunit ribosomal RNA
Source: RNAcentral
GACGAACGCUGGCGGCGUGCCUAAUACAUGCAAGUAGAACGCUGAAGAGAGGAGCUUGCUCUUCUUGGAUGAGUUGCGAACGGGUGAGUAACGCGUAGGUAACCUGCCUUGUAGCGGGGGAUAACUAUUGGAAACGAUAGCUAAUACCGCAUAACAAUGAAUGACACAUGUCAUUUAUUUGAAAGGGGCAAUUUCUCCACUACAAGAUGGACCUGCGUUGUAUUAGCUAGUAGGUGAGGUAACGGCUCACCUAGGCGACGAUACAUACCCGACCUGAAAGGGUGAUCGGCCACACUGGGAAUGAGACACGGCCCAGACUCCUACGGGAGGCAGCAGUAGGGAAUCUUCGGCAAUGGGGGCAACCCUGACCGAGCAACGCCGCGUGAGUGAAGAAGGUUUUCGGAUCGUAAAGCUCUGUUGUAAGUCAAGAACGAGUGUGAGAGUGGAAAGUUCACACUGUGACGGUAGCUUACCAGAAAGGGACGGCUAACUACGUGCCAGCCGCCGCAGUAA